UACGUAGGGUGCGAGCGUUGUCCGGAAUUACUGGGCGUAAAGAGCUCGUAGGUGGUUUGUCGCGUUGUUCGUGAAAACUCACAGCUCAACUGUGGGCGUGCGGGCGAUACGGGCAGACUGGAGUACUGCAGGGGAGACUGGAAUUCCUGGUGUAGCGGUGAAAUGCGCAGAUAUCAGGAAGAACACCAAUGGCGAAGGCAGCUCUCUGGGACGGUACUGACGCUGAGACGCGAAAGCGUGGGGAGCGAACAGG
This 253-nucleotide ribosomal RNA is filed under the name uncultured bacterium. RNAcentral describes it as "partial 16S ribosomal RNA". It matches the Rfam family "Bacterial small subunit ribosomal RNA", at positions 524 to 776 of the family's 1533-position model. The record is from RNAcentral.